UACGGAGGGUGCAAACGUUGCUCGGAAUCAUUGGGCGUAAAGCGCACGUAGGCGGCCUGUUAAGUCGGGUGUGAAAGCCCUGGGCUCAACCCAGGAAGUGCACUCGAAACUGGCGGGCUUGAAUAUGGAAGAGGGUCGCGGAAUUCCCGGUGUAGAGGUGAAAUUCGUAGAUAUCUGGAGGAACACCGGUGGCGAAGGCGGCUACCUGGCCCAACAUUGACACUGAGACCCGAAAGCGUGGGGAGCAAACAGG
Molecule: ribosomal RNA, 253 nt
Filed under: uncultured bacterium
Lineage: Bacteria
Description: partial 16S ribosomal RNA
Rfam family: Bacterial small subunit ribosomal RNA
Source: RNAcentral